AGAGCUUGCUGUUUUCAAGUUCUGAUUAUGGGAACUUGGAUAAAUAAGAAGUUUGAAGCUAAGUACUUUAAGUUUUCUUUAUUUUGUGCAUGAACCUCAGGAAAGUAAAAGUAGAGCAAAAGAAAAAGCAAGGGGAUUUGAGACAGGAGAAAUGAGUGAGUCUGGGACUUAGUGCUUAGUGUCAUCCUCUAUAACUGUUAUGGAUAAUUAUUAAUCUCUGGGCCUUAUGGCUCUCUGGCAAAUGUGUUCUUGGAAGAAGGUCUUGAUUAAUCUGUGUUUCUGUUUCAGAGGUGUGGAUAAACACUUUUUUGUUUGCUCUUCUCCAUUUGUACACCUGCAAAGACAAGCCUUUUCCAGUAUCUGCAUUUGGAUCCAUGAGGGAGUUAUUAAUUACACUGGCACCACUAUCCAGUAGCAAUGGGACAAUGACCCUGCACUCCAAAGUGACCACAUGUGGUAACAGAGGGGACCAUGCUGGCACAGUGCAUCUGGAAACUCGUGUGGGAAACUGUCCUGCGCUGCUGGUGAGAUCCAAGGAAACCCCUGAUGGAGUGAGUGAGUGUGUGGUUUUCAGGGAAAGCUCUGCAGGAGUGGGACUCCAGUGACGGCCCCAUCCAUCACAAGUCACAGCUCUUAUCUCUGCAGUGCAUAAGAGAUAUGGUUUAUGAAAAAGCUCUAGGUGAUUAUUUGUUUUUCUUCUCCUCCGUAUAUGUGUCAGGAGUUGCUUGGAGCAAGCUUUGUCUGUUGGUGGCAUGUGAAACAGUAUCUUCCAGGAAACUUCAGAAAUAUUUUAUGAAGUGUAGUAAUAAAAAUAUCCAUGUGGUACA
Molecule: long non-coding RNA, 827 nt
Filed under: Cyanistes caeruleus (blue tit)
Lineage: Eukaryota; Metazoa; Chordata; Aves; Passeriformes; Paridae
Description: lncRNA (ENSCCEG00000016475.1)
Source: RNAcentral